UACGUAGGGCGCGAGCGUUGUCCGGAAUCAUUGGGCGUAAAGAGCUCGUAGGCGGCCUGUCGCGUCUGCUGUGAAAUCCCGGGGCUCAACCCCGGGCGUGCAGUGGAUACGGGCUGGCUGGAGGCAGGCAGGGGAGAACGGAAUUCCCGGUGUAGCGGUGAAAUGCGCAGAUAUCGGGAGGAACACCGGUGGCGAAGGCGGGUCUCUGGACAGUUCCUGACGCUGAGGCACGAAGGUCAGGGGAGCAAACGGG
Molecule: ribosomal RNA, 253 nt
Filed under: uncultured bacterium
Lineage: Bacteria
Description: partial 16S ribosomal RNA
Rfam family: Bacterial small subunit ribosomal RNA
Source: RNAcentral